GUUUUUUCGUGCGAAAUAACUCCUUAAAAGAUACCUCAUCACACACCAGAAAGACUUAUUGAUUUGCCUUAUUUUGAUGUUAUUUGUCCACCCGUGAUCUUUAUAAGGGUUAAUAUUGCCUGUAAGAUAAUAAUACACCAGACACACGGACCAUAGAUGCAAGGAAUGAGGGAAAAUAACGUCUGCUAUAAUUCUGUCAAUAAUCAACCCUAUUCCUUUGUUAUUUAGCCUUCCAGUGAUAACAAAUGUUUCUCUGAUGUUUGUGCCGUGUAUUGGAGACGAAAUAAGGUCAUAGAACGAUAGAAAUGACACUGAAAUAUGGAAAAAAUGGGAAGGUAAACAUGUGAGAGCUAUUUCGUGGAAGUUGGCGAAGUUAUUCCCUUAUGAUAACGUGACUGGCCUUCCUCCCUCGCGGUGAAUUCGCCAUUAAGAGUCAUGUCUAUUUUAUGUGAUUUCGUGGGAUUUAGCCGCUGUAAAGACACGCCAUGGAGAUCAAAGAGAAGUACACCCGAUGGCAGGCCGGACCCUAUCUCUCCUUCGGGGGCCAAGUUGUGAUUUGCUUGGCAGGAGCCGUGGUGCGGAACACUGGAGGCUGAGUGUGACGCUCCUUGUUGGCCGCUAUGAUGAUGAUGUGGUUUGGCUACUACCAGCUGAGAGGCCACAGCAUGCUUUCCUGAAGACCGGCCAGCAACCCGGACUCUAGAGCAGUGGUUUGCAUUGGUUGGUGUAGCAGUGCCGGGAGGUGCCAUAACACUCCCCUCAACAACAGUCUCUUCACCGACAAGUAAUUCUUCACCAACAAGCUUUUCAGCAGCUUGGAGAAAUAGAAUUGAAUGGCUGGCGUCUCGGUCUGCCUGCCUGCGGGACACCGCACACUCUGGAAGAAGAAAGAACACCAAGAUGUCAAGUUCCUGCAUAAUCAGCCUCUUAGUGAAGGAAAUGUGCUCUAUUUAUUUAAUAAAUGAUUGACAAAAAAAUAA
Eriocheir sinensis (Chinese mitten crab) is the source of this 980-nucleotide long non-coding RNA. RefSeq lists it as uncharacterized. NCBI's taxonomy places the organism in Eukaryota, Metazoa, Arthropoda, Malacostraca, Decapoda, Varunidae. The record is from RefSeq and is a predicted model, not a curated record. The transcript has 5 exons.